UACGGAGGGUGCAAACGUUGCUCGGAAUCACUGGGCGUAAAGCGCACGUAGGCGGUCCGAUAAGUCGGAUGCGAAAGCCCUGGGCUCAACCUAGGAAGUGCAUUCGAAACUGUCGGACUUGAGUACGGGAGAGGGUUGCGGAAUUCCCGGUGUAGAGGUGAAAUGCGCAGAUAUCGGGAGGAACACCAGCGGCGAAGGCGGCACUCUGGGCUGGAACUGACGCUGAGGAGCGAAAGCGUGGGUAGCAAACAGG
This 253-nucleotide ribosomal RNA is filed under the name uncultured bacterium. RNAcentral describes it as "partial 16S ribosomal RNA". It matches the Rfam family "Bacterial small subunit ribosomal RNA", at positions 524 to 776 of the family's 1533-position model. The record is from RNAcentral.